Molecule: non-coding RNA, 109 nt
Organism: Violaceomyces palustris
Lineage: Eukaryota; Fungi; Basidiomycota; Ustilaginomycetes; Violaceomycetales; Violaceomycetaceae
Source: the annotation of a GenBank genome assembly
GCUUCCUUAGCGUAGUUGGUUUAUCGCAUCCGUCUAAUAGACGUGCCCGGGUAUCAUCCUGGUCCAUACCACAAACGGAAGGUCACUAGUUCGAGCCUAGUAGGGAGCA